CAUGAGUAGUUGUGAAUAGUGGUGCUUGGACUGGAGGAAGGCAAGCACAAGUGACAGACAGGCAGGGAGACUGAAGAAGAGGAGAAAGGAGGAAGAAGCAGUUGAACGCUGGGGAGGAGGAGGAGGUGUCCGGCUGACCAUCCUGGAUCCAGCAUCUCGGGCUCCACAACCAGGCCUCCUGCAUGCAAAUGUGGAACCUGCAGACAAGGGAGACACCAAGGGGCAUUUUAUACCAACACCAAAUGAGUCCCCAUUGGGCAUGACCUUGACAGAAAUGCAUGGGUCAAGCUGACCAGACCACAAUCUGGAUAUGGAUGCUUCAAAACCACAUUGAAUAAGACAAACAUCUUGGACAGCCUCCUGUGUGAAUGUGGUGUCCACAAUCAGUGAAGCACUUAAUUGGAAGCUGCAGUCCUUACAAAUGCCCAGACAAGACUCAAUACACCAAUGAGGAUUCCUGCCACAAAUACUGCACAGGAUCCAUUUGGAGAUGCCUUCUAUACUUCAGCAGCUGUGUUUAAAAGUGGACAUUGCUUGUACAUUCAAAGUGCAUAAUUUAUCUUCUUUCUCAUGCUUUGCUCUCAGAGGGUUUAAUAUUAAUUAACUCCCAGUUCUGCCACCUAUCUACUUAAGUGGCUUCUCACAACCAUUAAUUAAUUUUCACAACACCCUGGUGAGGUAGGGAUGCUUUUAUUCCUAUACUAUGGAUAAGAAAUUGAGACACAGUAACACAAAGUGUGUGUCUCUAGGUCAUGCCAGAAGCCUGCAGUAAGAUGGGAACUGAAACCCAGUGUCCAGAGACCUAGUUCUGUGCCUAAACCACUCUCACUGAGGGCUGGAAAGAGUAGAGGGGGAGCAAGGAUUUUACUGGCAUACCAAAAGCUGGAUAAGAUGGUGACAGGAAAGAGCAAAAGUGAGUUGCUAAGUAGCAUUUGUUAUGAGAGGGUACCAGCAUGCAGCAAUGUGGUUUAAAAAAUGUGACUCUGAGUGUGUGUGAAUAUACAAAACAUAUAUGGAAGGUAUGCCUCAGAUACCCAGAGAGAUCAGAUGGUACUAGGGAGAGAAGGAAUAGGUCAGUGGCAGCUCCUCUCUGCAGAGAGCUACAACAUCUGCCCAAAAAUAGUCUGCCACCCCUGAUGCCAAGAGCAGCAAACCUUUGAUAAACAGUUUAAAAAUAACCCCAGUGGGAAAGACGUCCCAUCUCCCUCCCUGGGAAUCUUAUUUGUGUUGGAGCCUGUGUUUGUCUUCCAAUACCCCUGCCAGCUUUCCGACCAUCACUAUUGCUCAUGUGACUCUCAUUGCCAAGGAGGCUGGUGCCAGAGAGGACAUGGGCAGUCCCAAGGGAGGAGAGAGAUGGUUGAUUAUUUUUGCUACUGUGGCAAGGGUUUGAAAUGGGCAGGAGCAGGGCUGGGGAGGAAGCCAGCCUGGGAUGUGCCAGAAGGGAUAAAAGAUGUGUUUUAGCUCUUAGUGCUAUGGCUUCAUGCCCUCCUGCUGACACAAGGGAGCAGAUUGUGUAAGUGUCACAUAAAGAGGAAGGUGCAAACUGGUUUACUGCAGGAAACAGAAGUUGGACAUGCUGAGAGCUGGCAUGUUCCAAUAAGCCACAAUGUUCCCUCUCUCUAGGGCAGCCAGCUCCUCAUGUCAGCUAGUCCUGGGAGGCAGGGUGGGGCAAAGGUCGAGUCAAGAAACGUGUUCUUAACUCUGCUCCUGGUUUGCUAUGAGUCUCUUCUCCUCCCUUUCUUCUUCUGGACAAAGGGAUAACAACAUCAGUCCCCUUUUGUAAAGUGCUGUGGGAUCUCAACACAGGAGCUCAGCCAUAUUUCCUGCUGGGGGCGUAGGUCUAGCUGGGGACCAAGUCAUUCUCUGAGUGGGUUUCCUCCAUGUGCCUCCAUGUUAUCAUGGGAAUACACUUGUGGAGCUAUAUAAAGAUACUGUGGCUCACUGCCAUGGUACACACAUGCCCUUUUUGGUUCCUGAUAUGGGUGCUGUGUUGCCCCCCAAUGCAGCCUGCCCUGUCAAGCUACCUUGGGACUAUCAGCAUGUGGGAGGCCACUGGGCUGCAUUGGUGGGCAGCUGAGUGCUUGGGGGAAGCGGAGGCAAUCUGUGUCCUAGAGCAGCUACUCCAACCUGGCGAUCGUUGAAGACUGCUUGCACUUCUGCUGCCAAGUGCAUGAGCCAGAGAAGGGUAAUUAAGGUGGAAGCAAAGAAGGAGCCCCUUUUAAUGGCCACCAAAGCAGCCGCUCCGGGGAACUGGCAGGGCUCUGUGCUGUAAGGUUAUUAGAGUUCUCAUUUGUAUUGUCCUUGGAAGAGGUUCUUCAGGGCCGCUGGCUCAGAGCACAGAAAUGUAAGUGAGAUCUUCUUUGAUGUGUUUGGGGAGAGCCAUUCCCCAUUCUUCCACUGCUGUUCACUAUUGAUAUUAUUUCUGUAUUUUUCCCAUAGCAACAGGGAGUAAGACCCCAGAAGCAGGACCCUAGCGGGCUGGGUUGUUUUACCCACCUGGCUUUGGGCCUGAGGAACUAACCUUCCUUCUUAAAACAAGAUGCAAUGGGUAAGUGCAGCAGAUGACACAAGGAAAAGAGCCUCUGAGGUAGGUUGUUGACAUUGUUCCUGUUUUAUCACUGUUGGCAGCCAUUGAUCUUAGGAGACCAUGGAGAUUGCGCAUUUGGUGGGUUACCAGGUACCACCACAGCUUCUUGAGUGGCUGAGGAGUCUGAUGCAUGACAAGCAGACCCUCCAGGAAGUUGCACAUAUAAAGACAGGUGAGCUUGCACUAGCAUGCCAAGUACCAUUUUGUUUUGCCUGCCUCUGACACCUCUUCUCUAGCUCAUCAUUGACCCACUCCAUCUUGAAGCACUGCAGGCCCUGCUUCAUGGUGACUUUCCACUUGCAGCAGUCUGAAGUGAUCGAUUCCCAUUUAGAUGUGGGGAAACUGAGGCAUGCGCAGAAAUUAAGCAGCCAGCUCUUGGUCAUACAGAGCAAGGGGUAGAACCCAGGAUUUCCCCUCCAAGGCUUAUACUUACCAAACAGGCAGUGAUGCUUCAGGUACUUCUUUUCUAUCUCCAUUUACUGCCUGAUGAACAGGGAUUCUGGUUUUCCCUGAUAAAGAAAUUGCAAAUUCUCUGAUUAAAAAUGGCAAAUUCUCUGCUAAAAACCCCAAACUCCACAAUGAAAGGCCACUAUAUAUACAGGUAUCAGUUGAACAUAACAUUUACUUGAUAUAGUUACCAUUUUAAAGCAAUUUGGAAGCCUACCAGUUUCUUAAUCACUGUAAUAAAAUACAUUCUAAAUACCUAUAAAUGUUGGUAUUUGAUUUUGGGUUUUUUAUCAUGGAAAAUCAGAGCUCCCCCUACCCCCUUCACUCACAGAAAGCAGGUCCAGGCCCCUCACUCCCAACCCACAGCCUCCCCAGCCCUGCUGGUGCCCCUCAUUCCCCCUACAGCCCCCUGCCCUGCUGGAACUCUGCCAGCCUGCAGAAAGCUCUUUGCAAAAGUACAGAAUCCACAGGUUUCUCUGUUAAAAUGAUAAAUCUGCAUUUUCGUCAGGUAAAGGGGGAAAUCCAUGUUUUUCUCCAUCUUUCCAUGGGAAAAAGAAAACCUGGAUCCCUGCUGAUGAAUCACUUCAAAUGAGGAUGCAAUUAGUAGUCACAGAACUACAGACAUAGGAGAUGGAGAUGUUCCAGGCCAGAGGAGUGCCGUUCUAUCCAUGCCAGUCUCUUCUUUUCACAGUAAAAGCGGGGAUCGACGGGAGCCACUUCCAUGUAGUGAUCCCUGGAAAUGUCUCUGAUAGCCAAGAGCUCCUGAAUCAACAAAAAUGCCAAAGUGCACAAAGAUAAAGAUACAGACACCUUUUUUGUCAUACGAAAGAACAGUAAAAGCAGUGGGGUUCCUUCCACUUCUUCUACCAUUAGAGAGAUCUCACCAUCAUGGCAAGUUUUGUAAUAUUCAGCCCAUUCUCCUCUUAUUGUUUUUACCUCUGACUCCUAGUUCUACUUCUUGGAUUGUCUUUGGCAAGCCCCCAACCUCUAGGGAGAUGGCAUUUUCCCUGUCUCCCUCUCUCUGUUGCUUCUUCCUUCCCUCUUUUCCUGAUUUUCCCUUCCCAUCUUGCUCCCAAUCAGCUCUCCAUGCAGCCUUCAGAACAUGACCCUGCAGGCAUUUCACCACUGUGUCCUGCAGGGACUGUAGCAGCAGUGACGGUGGCAGAGGAGAGAGGUGGAGGUUGCAUCAUGUAAGCUGGCCUGUGGAAGGGGGAGAGGGGCUGAUGGAACUCACUGUCCUUAAAGGGUCUGAGGUAUAUGUGAGUCAAGAGAGAGGUUGCUGAUCAGUUUGCAAGCUAUUUCUUGGCAAAUGAGAGGCAUGAGUAUAAUCAAUGCAUUGAUGUCAAUCAGUUCAGUCUUUAGCAGUCAAGAUUGCCCUGAUACCCUACACUGUCAACUGAUCCUGCUGCUGGUUCACACCUUUCUCAGUUAUGUGCAUCCGUUCAUCCAUGCUGCCAUCUGCAGCGUCCCAUGAUGUGCUAUGGUAGCAACUGGGAGCAGCCUUGUAGUCUCCAGGGAGGAAGCAUCCCAGACAAAGGAGCAUUUCCCCUUAGGUCUGCCAUCUGUUUGUGCUGUUUCUGCUGCUCCUGCUUUUCCAUCUCCUGUUGUUGUCAUGGGAUUUCAAAGUACGGAGAUCCUUGCAGCAGACUCUUCUGCUAUUUAGGGUGGUCCUGGGUGAUAGUCUCCUACAAGCUGAUGUUGAUGUUGCAUUUUUUUCAAGCUGUCCUUGAGGACAUCCUUGAAGUGCUUUAUCUACCUUCCUUGUGAGUGUAUGACUUGGGCAUGUUGCCUUGACUGGGAGAAAUAAAACUUGCUUCUGGAGUCUGGAGUUGGACAUCCAGAUGAUGUAGCUGGCCUAGUGAAGUUAAUGUUAGAUGAUCAUUGCCUCAAUGUUCAUGGUGUUCGCCUGUGUCUGAGAGAACCAUUUAUAGCCUAAAGGCAAGUGACUGGUUUCACUGAGUUCAUAGCAGGUGUCCCUUCAUUCAUCUUUUUUGGGCUGCCUGAUUCCAGCUGAACCAAUGCAAAGCUGUCUCUUGCUUCAAGGAGGGAGGAAGGUGCUGCCUGAUUCAUGACAGUGUGCUUGGCACCCAGAGUGCCAUGAUUAACUUAAUGAUUAUCUAUGCAGAAACCAUCAUGAACACCUGGUGUGUAUACUGCUAGAAGGAUUUGACAAACAGCUCACCAUAUCUUGGGAAUGCUGACUUUUUAGCAAGUCACUUACUUUGGACAACGAAGGCAGACUUCUUAGUUCCCCCUCUGCGUACCACCCCCCUCCCCAAGACAUUUAGUUCACACUGUAAAUACUUGCAGAGGUUAAAUGCAUGCAAACAGAAACCCAAGCCCUUGACAUUUUUGUGAAAAUAUUUCUAUUGCUUUUAGAGCCUGUAAAACUUUUAUUUACAAAACCGACAUGUUGACCUUAAAGUACCUGACAACUACUCUGAGCCUUUGCCAACAGCAUUGCUGCUUUUGAGCUGCUCCAAACAGGAAAAAUGUUCUUGGAAAAGCUCUUAGAAGCUCAGAAAUGGGUCACUCAAAGAGUAAUCAUAACCCAAAGCUCAGAACUGUUCAUUCCAGCUUUCUUAUUCUUCCUCCAGCAAAUGAUGGACUCUGGGGUCAGGAGGAGAGAAUGGAUGUCAACACAUGGCAGCAAAAGCCCAGUUGUGGACACUUAUGUACUUCAGGCAAGCCUGACCUGGUGUCCAAGGCAAAAGACAGACUGUAAAGUCCUGCCUAAUGUGUCACUCAACAUACAGAAACCCCAAGAGGAAUUGUGAGCUCAUGUGAACAUGUCAGUGAUAUGUAGUAUUAGUACCUUCCAUUUAUUGCCAGGCAAAGCCCUCUAUUUAUCAAUAAUCUCAUCUCCAUAGAUAAUAUUUAUUUUCUGAUUUGGUAGCUACAGACAUGGUCAUGGAAACCAGUAUUUGCUACAGAAUUGGGCUCCAGAAUCCAAAGCCUCAUUAUCCAGAGUUUCAAAAUGAAGGAUUAAAAGCCAACAAUGAAAAAAAGGCAUUUUGGUUAUAAACCCUCCUGCUUCAAGGCAGGGAACAGCUUCAGACUAGGAAUGGUUGGAGAAAAGCUUUUGUGAUAAGCAGUUCUUUUCAGUCUCCCACUGCUGAAUUUAUGGACUUCUCUGAAACAACUGGUACUAGCCACUGUUGGAGACAGAAUACUGGAGUCUAAGGGUUAGAUUUGAUUCCAAAGUGCAAGCCUAUUUCACCUUGCAUGAGUCUUUGAAAAUUGGUUAUUGUGCCUACUUUUGUAAAAUGCCUUCAUCUUAACUUUCAGAUUGAAUUAUAAAAAGCAGUGAGGAAAAGGGGUUCCCUCUCACCUCUUAUAUGAAUGAAUUUUUCUGGCAUUUGAACUGGAAUAGAAUAAUUUAUCCAUCAAGUUUCAAUUAGGUGUCUAAUAGCUGGAAUAGUGCCUGUCUUCUAGUCUGAUUAAAUAUGGUCAUUCCUAUCUUGCUCAUUUUCAAUGUAAAAAAUAUUUCUAACCCCAUGGCAAUGAUGAAGGCCUUAAGAGCAUGAAACUAUUGUAAAAAAGAAACUUCCACAUUCUUCUGAGUCUGUAGAAAUCCUGAAACAAGACUUGUGAACUGUUCAACUCUAAACAUGGUAAUGACAAUUACAGUGAUGACAUUAUUAAAAUUGCUUUGCUGGUCCUUU
Long non-coding RNA from Alligator mississippiensis (American alligator), 6699 nucleotides. RefSeq lists it as uncharacterized. Lineage: Eukaryota; Metazoa; Chordata; Crocodylia; Alligatoridae. The transcript has 4 exons. The record is from RefSeq and is a predicted model, not a curated record.